RNAcentral lists this ribosomal RNA (499 nucleotides) under uncultured bacterium. RNAcentral's name for it is "partial 16S ribosomal RNA". It matches the Rfam family "Bacterial small subunit ribosomal RNA", at positions 28 to 507 of the family's 1533-position model. The record is from RNAcentral.
GACGAACGCUGGCGGCGUGCCUAAUACAUGCCAGUCGAGCGAAGUUUUUCUGGUGCUUGCACCGGAAAAACUUAGCGGCGAACGGGUGAGUAACACGUAAAGAACCUGCCUCAUAGACUGGGACAACUAUUGGAAACGAUAGCUAAUACCGGAUAACAGCAUUAACUGCAUGGUUGAUGUUUAAAAGUUGGUUUUGCUAACACUAUGAGAUGGCUUUGCGGUGCAUUAGCUAGUUGGUGGGGUAAAGGCCUACCAAGGCGACGAUGCAUAGCCGACCUGAGAGGGUGAUCGGCCACACUGGGACUGAGACACGGCCCAGACUCCUACGGGAGGCAGCAGUAGGGAAUCUUCCGCAAUGGGCGAAAGCCUGACGGAACAACGCCGCGUGAGUGAAGAAGGAUUUCGGUUCGUAAAGCUCUGUUGUUAGGGAAGAAUGAUUGUGUAGUAACGAUACACAGUAGAGACGGUACCUAACCAGAAAGCCACGGCUAACUACGUG